GCACUAUGGAGUUAUAUUUGUGUCACAAUCCUGAGCGCACAGUGUGAAAUUUUGAGCACAGAAAAAAAUUUUGAGCAAAGAAAAACUUAAUCUGAGAAAACAAAAAUCUAUUCUGCACUCAAAAAAUAUGUUUUUAUAUUUGCAACUAUCCACAUACACACACAAUCUUAAUGUUUUUCACUCGGUUUUUCACUCUGCUCUCCUGUGGAUCUCUGCUCUACGUCCUCGCUACGUCUCUCUCGCUCUCGCUCAACAUCUGCUCUCUGCACACGCUCAAAUCUGCCUUCACGCUCGCCCAGCUCUGCACGGCGUUACAAAUGUUCCACAAUUCCAGCCAAUCACAGACUUCUGAUUUUAUCUGUAGAUCAUUCGACUAAAUGACUGUCAAGUUUGUCUGCAGUGAGCCACCGUACUUGUGUAUCUGAUGUUUGUUGCAGCUCAGCCAAUCAUAACACACUAUGUUAUGCGCGGUCCGAGGUUGUCAUGUGACCAAGAUGUCGUCUCUGGAUGCUAUGCUGUUGUUUAUGAGUUAGCUAAUAAAGUGGAACGUUUUGCAACAAUGUGUGAUCCUUGACUCACACAAAGGAACAAGUUUCAACACUAUCCAAUCGGGUCCCUGUUUCGGCCGCCUCUCGGAAGCGCUGUUAAAAACGAUCGCUAAAUCAACUGGAGUUUUGCGAUAUACGCUGGACUACGACAGAUUUUCGAGCCACUGGACCCUCGUUUAAUUAGCCAAGAUUAGCAAAGCUGGACCAUGUCCUCGGAUCCUGAACGACAACACAACGGUGCACCACAUCCACAUACAGAUACGGACCCGUACGCGAGUCUCGCGAGUCAAGAAGCUGCUAACCACUGCAAACUGUUGAAAGUCCAAAGAGGGAGAGAUGAAAAAGGGGGAGAGGAGACUGCACAAGGUCAGGAAGAACCAGGUAAGAAAACAAAGAGAAUAGAGGCAUGCACAACAGCACCUGUUAAGAUGACAAAGAAAAACAUCCAUUCACAAUAUGAUUUUACAUAUAUGUCAUGGAGGUCAUGUGUUCUCCCCACAUUAAAUGCUUUCCAGAAGCACACUUAACAGAUAUCAGUGGACUUCAUUCUAAACAGGACAUCUUCAUUACAUUUUCCUAAUUAUCUAUAUGCUUCACUAUUUGCUUGAUUUCACCAUACAAGGAGGAGAAGAACAGGAAGAGACUCUGGGAGAUGAGAGAGAGCAGACCAGGGAAAGAAAUGCUGUGCAUCGCUUUUCAAAUAAAAGUCAAAAAUUAAGUCCAAGGUCCAUAUUUGGUGUUUUUGGUGCUCAGUAUAGGGGGCUGGUUUACUCCACAAACAUACAUGCUGUUUAUGUGUAUGUUAAGGAGCUGCUGCAUCUAAAUUAUUCACUUUUCCCAGAAAUUAGGGUUGUGAUAUGUUUCUUUUAAGAUUCCAGAGCAUUCCUCCUUUGCUGUGACUCAGCAUUUAAAUAUCCUUUAUCAGAUUGCAUGGUUUAGUCACACAGCUUUUUCAAAAAGUGUUGCUUUUCUUUGACAAAUGUGGGAAUGAAAUUGCAUUAAAAUGUACAAAACAGUGAAAUUUAUCUUGCCUGGCCGGGCACCUCUGGGUGCUCAGCACCCCUAAACCUCUGAUCCUAGAAUCGCCCCUGCUUUACGGAAAAAAGGAGGGGAAACAGGACGGCGGAUCAACUCAGUGAUGUCUGCCAUUGGCCAGGUAUUCUGUUACCAUGUUAGUUUGGUGUGACUGCUUAUUGAAACAACUUGAGCAGGUUGGAUGCAGGCUUGGCUAUAGUCCUGGCUUUGGUUAUUCUGGUUCUGGUCUUGUGGCCUUGAUCUGGCCUCAGUAAGCCCUUUACCUGAUUUUGCUAAUAAGUAGAAUAAAAUUUGUUUUGUCCUGCAGUGUGUUGCAAAGGCAGACAUUUGUGGGGGGAAAAGUAUAUUGUGCAUUUAAUUGUAAUUUGAAGUAACUGAUGGUGAAAAGUUGUUCCAAAUGGCCAAGGAAAAAUGGAAAUCAGUUUGGACAGAAACAUUGUUAAAAUAGACUUUAAUAACUAUCUCAAAACCAAAAAAAAAAAAAACGGAAGCUGACGCACUUUGAAUAUGCAAAGGGCAAAUUUACCAACGCUUUUUAACUGCAGGGAGUCUUCAAGCAAGUAUACCAAUAAAUUUCACCAGCGUAAGAUCAGGGUGCCUCGGCGUCCUCGUUUUUCUGCAUCUGUGGACUUUGAAACUAGAGCACACCAACUAAUACCUACUCUUGCACUUAACUGUGGCGAUCUUUUUGAGCAUUCUGCCAUUUUCUUCAGAAAAAAAUAAAUUAAAAAAAAAUCAAACAAGUCUUUGUGUUUUAUCAUUAGAGUUCCCGCGUAGAAGUGAAGCGUGAAUGCAUCCUGAAAGCAGUGAUGGUGUACCUAAACGAGAAUCCAGAAAACCUCAUCAAAGAGUAUCUGGAUGUCAGUGUGAUGGAACUCGAGCAGAUUGACCUGAGCGUUUACAGAGUCAUCCAUGAAGGAGCACAGCCUGAUGACAGCCUGGACGGUGUCGGCAUCAUCACUGAAAGAUGCACCGUUCUGCAGGAUCCUGGAGAUGUGGCAACAGGGUGUGCUCUUUUGUUUGGACUAAUUUACUGCUUAAAUGUGAGCUACCCAAAGCUACUUCACUACACAUUUGAGUUCUUCCAGAAAGUACUCAUGGAUUUGGAUGCUAAAAAUGUGGGGGGGGGAUUAUUAAGACUACAUCUUUGAAUAGACCUAAUAGCAUAAUUCAUUAUUGUUUACUUGGUGUAACAGUAUAAACAGGAAUUGUAGAGCAUUUCAUAGUCAUUGUUCACUAAAUUUCAUUUAAAACAGUUCUUGAAUAUAUUGCAGUUUUUUUCAUUUAGGAAGUACUUAACACUUAUAAAGACAUUUUUGCUCUCAAACAGUUUGAGAAAUUUUACUUUGAUAAAUCAAAAAACUUCAAAUGUUUUCAUUUGUAACCUUGUGUAAUCUGCAAGUUUUGUUUUUUGAAAAUUAUACAAAUCGUUUCAGAUGUAAGGGUGUGCAUAGGGACACUUUUUUUUAAUAACACAGACAAUUUUAAAAUUAAAGGAAAGAUGUUUCAUAAAAAGUAGUUCGGUCCAUAAAUUACUGAAAGUUUGUAUACAUCAGAGGAAGUGUUCAUACAGCUCCAAAAUGGCCUGUCAUUUUUUGUAAGAGUUCAAAAGUAUUGGAACAAAAGCUGAAAUAUUGAAUUUAUAAAAAAAGAUUGAAUCUGGAAUAAUUGUUCAUGUAUGUAAUUUAUGAGCAACUAUUGUGACGCCUAAAGUCAAAGUCCUGAGUUUCCUCCACAUUAGUACUCUGCGAGGUCUUUUUUAAAAGGCAGCUCAGCUUUUAUUCCUUUGCUUUUCACUUAUUUCAAUAUUAAUGGUCAGUUGGUCAACACAGUGCCAUGUUUAAAUAUUGCAGCAUUUAAAGCUUUUCAAAUAAAGCUGUUGUUGGAAGUUAAA
Molecule: RNA transcript, 3477 nt
Organism: Acanthochromis polyacanthus (spiny chromis)
Lineage: Eukaryota; Metazoa; Chordata; Actinopteri; Pomacentridae
Gene name: carbohydrate sulfotransferase 8-like
Exons: 5
Source: RefSeq, a predicted model, not a curated record